AGUCGUAACAAGGUUUCCGUAGGUGAACCUGCGGAAGGAUCAUUACCGAGUGAGGGCUGCCUCCGGGCGCCCAACCUCCCACCCGUGAAUACCUAACACUGUUGCUUCGGCGGGGAGCCCUCUCGGGGGCGAGCCGCCGGAGACCACUGAACUUCAUGCCUGUAGUGAUGAGUCUGAGCCUAAAUGAAAAUUUAGUCAAAACUUUCAACAAUGGAUCUCUUGGUUCCGGCAUCGAUGAAGAACGCAGCGAACUGCGAUAAGUAAUGUGAAUUGCAGAAUUCAGUGAAUCAUCGAGUCUUUGAACGCACAUUGCGCCCCCUGGCAUUCCGGGGGGCAUGCCUGUCCGAGCGUCAUUGCUGCCCUUCAAGCCCGGCUUGUGUGUUGGGUCGUCGUCCCCCCCGGGGGACGGGCCCGAAAGGCAGCGGCGGCACCGUGUCCGGUCCUCGAGCGUAUGGGGCUUUGUCACCCGCUCGAUUAGGGCGCGGCCGGGCGCCAGCCGGCGUCUCCAACCUUAUUUUUCUCAGGUUGACCUCGGAUCAGGUAGGGAUACCCGCUGAACCUAAGCAUAUCA
This 571-nucleotide unclassified non-coding RNA is filed under the name Aspergillus stellatus. RNAcentral describes it as "sequence contains 18S rRNA gene, ITS1, 5.8S rRNA gene, ITS2, 28S rRNA gene". The stretch from base 200 to 353 matches the Rfam family "5.8S ribosomal RNA". The record is from RNAcentral. Lineage: Eukaryota; Fungi; Ascomycota; Eurotiomycetes; Eurotiales; Aspergillaceae.